Molecule: ribosomal RNA, 313 nt
Filed under: uncultured eukaryote
Lineage: Eukaryota
Description: partial large subunit ribosomal RNA
Rfam family: Eukaryotic large subunit ribosomal RNA
Source: RNAcentral
AUAUAAUUAGGCGGAGGAAAAGAAAUUAACUAAGAUUUCCUUAGUAACGGCGAGUGAAAAGGAAUUAGUUCAGCGCUGAAUCCCUUAGCCGAAGGUUAAGGGAACUGUAGCGUGAAAGAGAGCCUAUUCGAACUGGAUUGCGCUUCGGAAGCUCCCUCGAACGGGACCCCAAAGCAGGUGCGAGGCCUGUAACGAGGUUACGCCAGUCGAUUAGAGCCUCUUUAGAGUCGGGUUGCUUGAGAGUGCAGCCCUAAGCGGGAGGUAAACCCCUCCUAAGACUAAAUACGACCACGAGACCGAUAGCGCACAAGUA